RNAcentral lists this ribosomal RNA (464 nucleotides) under uncultured bacterium. RNAcentral's name for it is "partial 16S ribosomal RNA". It matches the Rfam family "Bacterial small subunit ribosomal RNA", at positions 339 to 795 of the family's 1533-position model. The record is from RNAcentral.
CUACGGGUUGCUGCAGUCGAGAAUCUUUUGCAAUGGGGGAAACCCUGACAAUGCGACGCCGCGUGAGCGAUGAAGGCCUUCGGGUUGUAAAGCUCUGUCAAGUUGGACGAAAGCCUGGAUAGUAACUGAUCUCAGGCCUGACGGUACAACUAAAGGAAGCCACGGCUAACUCCGUGCCAGCAGCCGCGGUAAUACGGAGGUGGCAAGCAUUAUUCGGAUUUACUGGGUGUAAAGGGCAUGUAGGUGGUAAUGUAAGUCAGAUGUGAAAUCCUCUGGCUCAACCAGAGAACUGCAUUUGAAACUGCGUUACUUGAGGACAGGAGAGGAAAGUGGAAUUCCCGGUGUAAGGGUGAAAUCUGUAGAUAUCGGGAGGAACACCAGUAGCGAAGGCGACUUUCUGGACUGUUUCUGACACUGAAAUGCGAAAGCAAGGGGAGCAAACAGGAUUAGAUACCCGUGUAGUC